Rosa chinensis is the source of this 2065-nucleotide long non-coding RNA. RefSeq lists it as uncharacterized. The transcript has 8 exons. The record is from RefSeq and is a predicted model, not a curated record. NCBI's taxonomy places the organism in Eukaryota, Viridiplantae, Streptophyta, Magnoliopsida, Rosales, Rosaceae.
ACUAUACAAAAAAUAAUUGCAACGGCCACCCCGUUUGGCGUCGGCAUCCUUUUGCCAUCGCAAAAAAUUGACAUUUCGCUUCAGCAAAAUCACGCCGUCGUAAAACUUGCGACUGAGUUGCUAUGCCGUGGCAAUGGGGUAGCCAAACUUCAAUAUUUAUCUUCGGAGAGCGUUUGCAGUCGCAAACUUCCAAUACUUGGCGACUGCGUCUAAAAUGUCGUCGCACUAGUUAACAACUAUGAGCCCAAAUCUCUUAUUAAAUAUAUUUUCUCAUCAAAAAACCCUAGCCUAUUUCUCUCAAUCCCUGUUCUCUAUCGCAUCCCUCUUUCUCUCUCUCUCUCUCUCUGUUCUCUAUCUAACUGAACAAAUUGAGCAUCGCAGAACUUGGUGGCCACUGUGCUGAUCUAGAUCCAGGGCUUACUCUUUUUGGGUAUUUCAUUUUGGCUUACUCUUCAGUCGUUCCUCUCCUCUCUCAUUGAAUCUAAUUCUACUCAGAUGCUUCCAAUUCAAUGGCGGGGUCAUUCAUGCGAGUUUCUUUCUGUCCGAGCGAAAUUCAUACAGAAUUUCGAUUCAACUCAGAUGGUCUCUCUUCUCUGUUCUCUGAAAGCUAGCGUCUUGGGAACAGCAAGCUGACACAAGUAACUUCUUUUACAUUGUUGUUUCUGCAAAUAGCUGAAGUUCAGACAAAGCAUAUAUGGUCCUUUUGCUUCUUUGCUGCGGAAUAAUCAACUCAAUUUUAGGUGGUGAGAUUCCUUCUGAGAUCAGAAAGAUGGGCAGCGUAGAAGAGGUUCAGAAAUUUGAUGAGAUCGCAAAACAACCUAUGUCAGAAGGUGAUAAUUCAGCAAAGUCUACUGACCCCAAAUUAUCAUUCAUGACAUAUCAGGGAAUCUCAACUUAUAUAUAUCACAUAAGCAAUUGAAGAAUGAACGAGAAAGCCAUGGAUUGACGAGUAAUUACUAUUUGCUGGCGUUGAACUUUUCUCUCAAAGAAUGAGCUUUUCCUCUGUAAAUAGUCUGAUUCUCAACGUCUAAUCUCUAUUUAUGGCAAUUCAAUACUGCAUCUCAAUUCAAAAGUAUGACUACUUGAUAGUGACGAACUUAUAGAAUUUGUUUGAUCACUAUCUAUCAGAGAUUAGUAGAAAGCUGGAAAAUGCAUACAAAAGUCGGGACAAAGUUGCACUUCAUGAAAGCUCCAACCAAGAUGAAUGAAAAAGUAAUAUGCUUUUCAAGUUUUUUAAUUCUUUUGUUCCAGGUAAAUUUCCCUUUCCAUUUUCUUCUCCUUUUCCAUCAACUUGUGUUUACCAAUUGCACAAUUAUAUUUUCCUUUUCAUGUCAUCGCGAUUAUGAUUUCCACUGGUUUGAUUCAUUUUUUCUUUCGAAGCUAUAAUUUCUGUUCAAGGAGCUCCAAAGAUCUCCUCAGACCCGACUGCAAUCGCACCGAGUAUUUUCUCAGUGCAAUUAUCAAUUACCAUCUUUAUAGAGAAACAAAAGUAAAUCUACUCACCAAACUUAUGAAUCCAUUAACUGAUAUUGAGGAGCGGCACAAAUUGUUGCAGGGCUAGGUUUCCCAGGAGAAGAGAUUUGUAGAUGCAAAAUGAGUUCAACGUAAUGGUGGUUAGAAGUUGGAGCUGCACGAUUUUGUACUAUGGUGCCAGGUAGUAACAUUGCUUUUAUAUUCAUCAGCAUGUAUUUGAGCCCUGGAGAGGCAGUAAUUGUUGCUCAGGAAGUUGUCAAUACAAUGGCUGCGAAGGGAUAUGAUCUGGGACAAGAUGCAUUAAUCAAGGCCGAUCUGGGACAAGAUGUAUUAAUCAAGGCCAAAAGCUUCUGAUGAGUCCUACCAAGUAUUAGCUACUACAGCAGCCAAGGUUUACAGUUACUUCAUAAAACUAUAUUUUUCUCUUUACAAAGGGGAGAGUUAUCAAGGGGACACCUCCAUCGAUAUGAGCAAGCACCAUAUGCCCAGAAUGUAGUUGAGAUCACUACUAGAAAAACACCAUUUAAGGAUACUGAAACUGUGUCUUUAAAUACAUACAAGGACUCUUUAAAAAAGAGUCCUCUAUCCAGCA